Molecule: unclassified non-coding RNA, 162 nt
Filed under: uncultured Basidiomycota
Lineage: Eukaryota; Fungi; Basidiomycota
Description: sequence contains ITS1
Source: RNAcentral
AAGAUUCUUGACCCUCUGGGUCAAACUCUUCAGCUGUGCGCUUCGGCUGCACGCUGAUAAAAUUCACACACCUGUGCACGUUUCGGUCGCAUCCUGCAUGCAGGUUUGCUUCCGCUUUAACAUACAACCACACGUCUUGAAUGUAACAAACCAUAAAAGUAA